This 416-nucleotide unclassified non-coding RNA is filed under the name soil metagenome. Its description in RNAcentral is "partial contains 5.8S ribosomal RNA, internal transcribed spacer 2, and large subunit ribosomal RNA". The stretch from base 1 to 120 matches the Rfam family "5.8S ribosomal RNA", at positions 35 to 154 of the family's 154-position model. The record is from RNAcentral.
GAUGAAGAACGUAGCGAAAUGCGAUAAGUAAUGUGAAUUGCAGAAUUCAGUGAAUCAUCGAAUCUUUGAACGCACCUUGCACUCCUUGGUAUUCCGAGGAGUACGCCUGUUCGAGUGUUAUGAAGCUCUCAAAACGCAAUUGGCUUAAAACCUGAUUGUUGUUUUGGAUUUGAACUUUGCCGUGUUAUAACGGCUGGUUUUAAAAGUAUUAGCUGGUACUAGAACGAAUUGGUUCUACUCAACGUGAUAAUUAUCUGAUCGUUGAGGACAUUCCUUUCACGAGGAAUGGCCAUAGUAAAUUGAAUGGACUGCUUCUAAUCUGGCUUUAAUUCUUUAUUGGAUUAACCACUUUUCAAAUCUGACCUCGAAUCAGGUGGGACUACCCGCUGAACUUAAGCAUAUCAAUAAGCGGAGGA